Gadus morhua (Atlantic cod) is the source of this 1635-nucleotide long non-coding RNA. The record is from Ensembl. NCBI's taxonomy places the organism in Eukaryota, Metazoa, Chordata, Actinopteri, Gadiformes, Gadidae.
AUACUUUUUAAUUUACAGUUGUAACCGACGGGUUUCUGCGUUGUGUCUUGUCUUCGUUGAGUGAGGCACAAACAGGAGUCGAGUUAUGGCGGUUUAUUUCUUUUAACCCAUUAGUACCGGAUGCUGCACGGCGCAACAUUGCAUCUACCGCCGAUUGCUGCGUAGCGCAGCUUUGAAUCUCCUGCCGGCUGCUGCAUUGUUGAUUUGUCGUCAUUUUCAUGACAAAUGCAGCAUAUAAUGCAUUGACAUUGGUUCAAAUACACAAGGUGGGUCUUGUUGUUUUCUUAAAACCACGUGACCAGCAAAACGUUGUUGUUGGCCGACAAUCACGUCAAUCAAUCAGACAAACACGGGCAAUGUUGAACUUUUUUCCCCUGCAAAAAUGGCUGUGAUCGACGAGUACUGUGACAGCGGCGGCAGCGAUUUGGAGUUGGGAGAGAGUGAGGAGUUUGAGAGGGAGGUGGCGGUAGAAGGGUUUGUACCUGAUGAUCCUUUGGAUCAAGCCCAGGAGUGGUAUUUGUGGGUUGAAGGAGAGGAGGAGGAGGACGACAACGACUUUGCUGAAUUUCAGGUGGACUGGAAGACGGAUGGAUACUUGCCCCGAAAUCCCAAGCAGUUCACUCGCAAAUCGGGACUGAAGCAGCCGAUUGCCGUGGUUGAAACCCCCCUGGACGUAUUUUCAAAGAUAUUCACUGAUGAACUUUGAGACAUGUUGGUGACCCAAACAAAUGUUUAUGCUGAUCGGACGCGCGGCCAGACCCCAUCAAACUCGAAGUGGAACCCCAUCUCCAAAACCGAGAUGAAAACGUUUGUCGGGCUCUGCCUCACUUUUGGUAUCCUGAAACUGCCUGCACGCCGGGAUUAUUGGAGGCAAACAAAGUGGCUGUACCAGACACACGUCCCCAAGGCCAUGGCACGAUAUCUCCAUCUCCAAGACAACAUGGACCCUGCUGUGGACAAGUCUGACAAGCUCUGGAAGCUCAAGGGAUUCAUGGACCUUCUCCUUGUCAGAUUCCAGGAUCUCUACGAGGUCAAUGGCUUUGUGACCAUGGAUGAGUCCAUGGUCAAGUCCAAGGGACGCCUGGCCUUCCGGCAGUACCUCCCCAUGAAGCCGGUGAAGUGGGGAGUAAAGGUGUGGGUGAUGGCGGAGAGCAAGACAGGCUAUGGCAACAAUUUCCAGGUGUACACGAGGGCCCUUCAGGGACACCAAGGCAGUGAUGGUCCUGUCAAACUUCCAUGACGCGACAGCUUUUGGGUCAGUGAGGAGGAAGGCGAAUGGUCGUGCAGCUGAUCGUGCCCGUCACCAAAAGAAGUGCUCCCCACCAGCCCAACUGGAGCUUCUGCUGAGCAUGAUCUGGUCCAGAUAAACCAGAAGAAAACCUGCAGGGAGUGUUCUCUGAAGCGCAACGGCACCGACGUGUGUCCUAGGUCCACACUUAUGGGGUGCAGGCAGUAUGACCUUCCUCGGCACCGCGAGUGCUUCGUGCACCACGUCCUUCGCCACGCGAGUUGAUGCACCACGUCCUUCACCAAGACUGAUUUGUUGUGUGUGUGUGUCCUUUCCCCACCCUCCCCACUCCUUUCCCACCUCUCUCUCAUACCAAGGUGCCUUGGUCUGUGUUGGCAUGUUUUAAA